RNAcentral lists this ribosomal RNA (106 nucleotides) under Candidatus Carsonella ruddii CE isolate Thao2000. Lineage: Bacteria; Pseudomonadati; Pseudomonadota; Gammaproteobacteria; Oceanospirillales; Halomonadaceae. The record is from RNAcentral.
UAUCUAAUUAUUAUAGCGAGUAAAAUUGAUCUCUUUUCGAACUCAAAAACAUAUACUUUGCGCUUAUGGUAACAUUUUAAUGUGAGAGUAAGAAAUAAUUAGAUAA